GUGCUCGCUUCAGCAGCACAUAUAUUAAAAUUGGAACAAUACACAGAAGAUUAGCAUGGCCCCUGCACAAGAAUGACAGGCAAAUUCAUGACGCAUUUCAUAAAUUA
RNAcentral lists this small nuclear RNA (107 nucleotides) under Cavia aperea (Brazilian guinea pig). Lineage: Eukaryota; Metazoa; Chordata; Mammalia; Rodentia; Caviidae. The record is from RNAcentral.